RNA transcript from Sciurus carolinensis (gray squirrel), 1644 nucleotides. It is a transcript of the gene named cyclin dependent kinase 14, with no coding region annotated. NCBI's taxonomy places the organism in Eukaryota, Metazoa, Chordata, Mammalia, Rodentia, Sciuridae. The record is from RefSeq and is a predicted model, not a curated record. The transcript is spliced from 16 exons.
UGGACCAGUUUGGGGAAGUUGCCGGGGCCCCGCGUCGUCCAGAUGUGCGACCUCAUUGAGCCGCAGCCGACCGAGAAGAUCGGCAAGAUGAAGAAGUUGCGGAGAACUUUGUCCGAGAGUUUCAGCCGCAUUGCUUUGAAGAAAGACGACACCACCUUUGAUGAGAUAUGUGUCACAAAGAUGUCUACACGGAACUGUCAGGGAAUGGACUCAGUGAUCAAACACCUGGACACAAUUCCUGAGGAUAAAAAAGUCAGAGUUCAGAGGACACAGAGCACUUUUGACCCAUUUGAGAAACCAACUAAUCAAGUAAAGAGGGUGCAUUCUGAGAACAAUGCCUGCAUUAACUUUAAGACCUCCUCUGCUGGCAAAGAAUCACCUAAAGUUAGGCGGCACUCCAGCCCCAGCUCGCCAACAAGUCCCAAAUUUGGAAAAGCUGACUCAUAUGAAAAACUGGAAAAACUAGGAGAAGGAUCUUAUGCUACAGUAUACAAAGGGAAAAGCAAGGUAAAUGGGAAGUUGGUAGCCCUAAAGGUGAUCAGGCUACAAGAAGAAGAGGGUACCCCUUUCACCGCUAUCAGGGAAGCUUCUCUGUUAAAAGGACUAAAACACGCGAACAUAGUGCUACUUCAUGACAUCAUCCAUACCAAGGAGACCCUGACACUCGUCUUUGAAUAUGUGCACACUGAUUUAUGUCAGUACAUGGACAAGCACCCUGGGGGGCUCCAUCCAGAUAAUGUGAAGUUGUUUUUAUUUCAGUUGCUGCGAGGGCUGUCUUACAUCCACCAGCGUUAUAUUUUGCACAGAGACCUGAAACCACAGAAUCUUCUGAUCAGUGACACGGGGGAGUUGAAGCUGGCAGAUUUCGGUCUUGCAAGAGCAAAAUCUGUCCCCAGCCACACGUAUUCCAAUGAAGUAGUCACCUUGUGGUACAGACCUCCAGAUGUGCUCCUGGGCUCCACCGAGUAUUCCACCUGCCUUGACAUGUGGGGAGUUGGCUGCAUCUUUGUUGAGAUGAUCCAAGGAGUUGCUGCUUUUCCAGGAAUGAAAGACAUUCAGGAUCAACUUGAACGUAUAUUCCUGGUUCUUGGAACACCAAAUGAGGACACAUGGCCUGGAGUUCAUUCUUUACCACAUUUUAAGCCAGAACGCUUUACCCUGUACAGCUCUAAAAACCUUAGACAAGCAUGGAAUAAGCUCAGCUAUGUAAAUCAUGCAGAAGAUCUGGCCUCUAAGCUCCUACAGUGUUCCCCAAAGAACAGACUAUCAGCACAGGCUGCCUUGAGCCAUGAGUAUUUUAGUGACCUUCCCCCACGGCUAUGGGAGCUGACUGAUAUGUCUUCUAUUUUUACCGUCUCAAAUGUGAGAUUGCAACCAGAAGCUGGCGAGAGCAUGCGGGCCUUUGGGAAAAACAAUAGUUAUGGCAAAAGUCUAUCAAACAGCAAGCACUGACGAGCAUGGCACUCUCAAGAGAGCAGUAGCAAACCGAACUUGAAGAUGAAUGACAUGCAAAGAUCUGUUUUGUUUAUCUUUCUUGGUAUUUUAAGCAGAACAGCUCAGUGUCAGAGCCUUAUAGAAUUAAGUUGUCAUCUUUCUGAGAAGAAAAAAAACACAUUAAUGAAGUGGCCAAUAAUGUGAAGGGAA